This 481-nucleotide ribosomal RNA is filed under the name uncultured bacterium. Its description in RNAcentral is "partial 16S ribosomal RNA". It matches the Rfam family "Bacterial small subunit ribosomal RNA", at positions 28 to 507 of the family's 1533-position model. The record is from RNAcentral.
GAUGAACGCUGGCGGCGUGCUUAACACAUGCAAGUCGAACGAAACACCUUAUUUGAUUUUCUUCGGAACUGAAGAUUUGGUGAUUGAGUGGCGGACGGGUGAGUAACGCGUGGGUAACCUGCCCUGUACAGGGGGAUAACAGUCAGAAAUGACUGCUAAUACCGCAUAAGACCACAGCACCGCAUGGUGCAGGGGUAAAAACUCCGGUGGUACAGGAUGGACCCGCGUCUGAUUAGCUGGUUGGUGAGGUAACGGCUCACCAAGGCGACGAUCAGUAGCCGGCUUGAGAGAGUGAACGGCCACAUUGGGACUGAGACACGGCCCAAACUCCUACGGGAGGCAGCAGUGGGGAAUAUUGCACAAUGGGGGAAACCCUGAUGCAGCGACGCCGCGUGAGUGAAGAAGUAUUUUGGUAUGUAAAGCUCUAUCAGCAGGGAAGAAAAUGACGGUACCUGACUAAGAAGCCCCGGCUAACUACGUG